AGACGUCUACAUUAGAUACCCGCGUAGUCCCAGCCGUAAACUAUGCGCGUUAGGUGUAUCGGUGACCACGAGUCACCGAGGUGCCGAAGGGAAACCGUGAAACGUGCCGCCUGGGAAGUACGGUCGCAAGGCUGAAACUUAAAGGAAUUGACGGGGAGCACCACAACGGGUGGAGCCUGCGGUUUAAUUGGACUCAACGCCGGGAAGCUCACCGGAUAAGACAGCGGAAUGAUUGCCGGGCUGAAGACUCUGCAUGACUAGCUG
RNAcentral lists this ribosomal RNA (264 nucleotides) under uncultured archaeon. Its description in RNAcentral is "partial 16S ribosomal RNA". It matches the Rfam family "Archaeal small subunit ribosomal RNA", at positions 717 to 982 of the family's 1478-position model. The record is from RNAcentral.